This 627-nucleotide ribosomal RNA is filed under the name uncultured bacterium. RNAcentral's name for it is "bacterial SSU rRNA". It matches the Rfam family "Bacterial small subunit ribosomal RNA", at positions 328 to 946 of the family's 1533-position model. The record is from RNAcentral.
CAUAUGGAUUCCUACGGGAGGCAGCAGUAGGGAAUCUUCCACAAUGGGCGAAAGCCUGAUGGAGCAACGCCGCGUGAGUGAAGAAGGAUUUCGGUUCGUAAAACUCUGUUGUAAGGGAAGAACAAGUACAGUAGUAACUGGCUGUACCUUGACGGUACCUUAUUAGAAAGCCACGGCUAACUACGUGCCAGCAGCCGCGGUAAUACGUAGGUGGCAAGCGUUGUCCGGAAUUAUUGGGCGUAAAGCGCGCGCAGGCGGUCCUUUAAGUCUGAUGUGAAAGCCCACGGCUCAACCGUGGAGGGUCAUUGGAAACUGGGGGACUUGAGUGCAGAAGAGGAAAGUGGAAUUCCAAGUGUAGCGGUGAAAUGCGUAGAGAUUUGGAGGAACAACAGUGGCGAAGGCGGCUCACUGGACCAUUACUGACACUGAGAUGCGAAAGCGUGGGGAGCAAACAGGAUUAGAUACCCUGGUAGUCCACGCCGUAAACGAUGGAUACUAGAUGUCGGUAGGUCUUACCCUAUCGGUAUCGUAGCUAAUGCGUUAAGUAUCCCGCCUGAGGAGUACGGUCGCAAGAUUAAAACUCAAAGAAAUUGACGGGGGCCCGCACAAGCAGUGGAGUAUGUGGUU